RNAcentral lists this ribosomal RNA (460 nucleotides) under uncultured bacterium. RNAcentral's name for it is "partial 16S ribosomal RNA". It matches the Rfam family "Bacterial small subunit ribosomal RNA", at positions 338 to 795 of the family's 1533-position model. The record is from RNAcentral.
CCUACGGGGGGCAGCAGUGAGGAAUAUUGGUCAAUGGCCGUAAGGCUGAACCAGCCAAGUAGCGUGAGGGAAGACUGCCCUAUGGGUUGUAAACCUCUUUUAUGCGGGGAUAAAGGUGUCCACGUGUGGAUGUUUGCAGGUACCGCAUGAAUAAGGACCGGCUAAUUCCGUGCCAGCCGCCGCGGUAAUACGGAAGGUCCGGGCGUUAUCCGGAUUUAUUGGGUUUAAAGGGAUCGUAGGCCGGUCUUUAAGCGUGCCGGGAAAUUUUGUGGCGAAAACAUGAGAGUGCGGAGCGAACUGGAGACCUUGAGUGCGCGGAAGGCAGGCGGAAUUCGUGGUGUAGCGGUGAAAUGCUUAGAUAUCACGAAGAACGCCGAUUGCGAAGGCAGCCUGCCGCAGCGUUACUGACGCUGAAGCUCGAAAGCGCGGGUAUCGAACAGGAUUAGAUACCCCUGUAGUC